Kogia breviceps (pygmy sperm whale) is the source of this 231-nucleotide non-coding RNA. NCBI's taxonomy places the organism in Eukaryota, Metazoa, Chordata, Mammalia, Artiodactyla, Physeteridae. The record is from RefSeq and is a predicted model, not a curated record.
CACGAUGGACCGCAGAGAGCUGUACUCUGUGUGCACCUGCGUGUCAUCCACGGACCAGAAACGGUGGAACUGCAGGUUCUUCAGAUGAGGACAUUGAGGCACAGAGAAUUUAAGUCACUUACCUGAAGUCACACAGCUAAUAAGAUUGAGACCCAGCAGUCUGCCUAUGGAAUCUACACUCUGAGCCCCUAAACUGCAUCUUGAAUACAGCGUUUGGUACAGUCAUGCUCA